RNAcentral lists this ribosomal RNA (407 nucleotides) under uncultured bacterium. Its description in RNAcentral is "partial 16S ribosomal RNA". It matches the Rfam family "Bacterial small subunit ribosomal RNA", at positions 28 to 526 of the family's 1533-position model. The record is from RNAcentral.
GACGAACGCUGGCGGCGUGCCUAAUACAUGCAAGUAGAACGAAGUUGCGAACGGGUGAGUAACGCGUAGGUAACUGCCUGGUAGCGGGGGAUAAAUAUUGGAAACGAUAGCUAAUACCGCAUACUACCAGAUGGACCUGCGUUGUAUUAGCUAGUUGGUGAGGUAACGGCUCACCAAGGCAACGAUACAUAGCCGACCUGAGAGGGUGAUAGGACAACCUGUGAAUGGGACACGGCCCAGACUCCUACGGAAGGUAGCAGUGGGUAGUCUUCGGCAAUGGGGGGAACCCUGACCGAGCAACGCCGCGUGAGUGAAGAGGGGUUUCGGAUCGUAAAGCUCUGUUGUUAAGGAAGCGGGACUUAACCAGAAAGGGACGGCUAACUACGUGCCAGCAGCCGCGGUAAUUC